RNAcentral lists this ribosomal RNA (468 nucleotides) under uncultured bacterium. RNAcentral describes it as "partial 16S ribosomal RNA". It matches the Rfam family "Bacterial small subunit ribosomal RNA", at positions 28 to 507 of the family's 1533-position model. The record is from RNAcentral.
GACGAACGCUGGCGGCGUGCUUAACACAUGCAAGUCGAACGGAAAGGCCCUGCUUUUUUGGGGUGCUCGAGUGGCGAACGGGUGAGUCACACGUGCGUAACCUGCCCUUGACUUUGGGAUAACUUCAGGUAACUGGGGCUAAUACCGGAUAGGAGCUCCUGCUGCAUGGUGGGGGUUGGAAAGUUUCGGCGGUUGGGGAUGGACUCGCGGCUUAUCAGCUUGUUGGUGGGGUAGUGGCUUACCAAGGCUUUGACGGGUAGCCGGCCUGAGAGGGUGACCGGCCACAUUGGGACUAAGAUACGGACCAGACUCCUACGGGAGGCAGCAGUGGGGAAUAUUGCACAAUGGGCGGAAGCCUGAGGCAGCAACGCCGCGUGCGGGAUGACGGCCUUCGGGUUGUAAACCGCUUUCGCCUGUGACGAAGCGUGAGUGACGGUAAUGGGUAAAGAAGCACCGGCUAACUACGUG